This 496-nucleotide ribosomal RNA is filed under the name uncultured bacterium. Its description in RNAcentral is "partial 16S ribosomal RNA". It matches the Rfam family "Bacterial small subunit ribosomal RNA", at positions 29 to 507 of the family's 1533-position model. The record is from RNAcentral.
AUGCACGCUGGCGGCGUGCCUAAUACCUGCCAGUCGCGCGAACAGACGAGGAGCUUGCUCCUUCGACGUUAGCGGCGGACGGGUGAGUAACACGUAGGUAACCUACCUAUAAGACUGGGAUAACUUCGGGAAACCGGAGCUAAUACCGGAUAAUAUUUCGAACCGCAUGGUUCGAUAGUGAAAGAUGGCUUUGCUAUCACUUAUAGAUGGACCUGCGCCGUAUUAGCUAGUUGGUAAGGUAACGGCUUACCAAGGCAACGAUACGUAGCCGACCUGAGAGGGUGAUCGGCCACACUGGAACUGAGACACGGUCCAGACUCCUACGGGAGGCAGCAGUAGGGAAUCUUCCGCAAAGGGCGAAAGCCUGACGGAGCAACGCCGCGUGAGUGAUGAAGGUCUUCGGAUCGUAAAACUCUGUUAUUAGGGAAGAACAAACGUGUAAGUAACUGUGCACGUCUUGACGGUACCUAAUCAGAAAGCCACGGCUAACUACGUG